RNAcentral lists this ribosomal RNA (460 nucleotides) under uncultured bacterium. Its description in RNAcentral is "partial 16S ribosomal RNA". It matches the Rfam family "Bacterial small subunit ribosomal RNA", at positions 338 to 795 of the family's 1533-position model. The record is from RNAcentral.
CCUACGGGUGGCAGCAGGGAGGAAUAUUGGUCAAUGGGCGCGAGCCGGAACCAGCCAAGGAGCGUGAAGGAUGACUGCCCUACGGGUUGUAAACUUCUUUUAUAAAGGAAUAAAGUGAGGCACGUGUGCCUUUUUGCAUGUACUUUAUGAAUAAGGAUCGGCUAACUCCGUGCCAGCAGCCGCGGUAAUACGGAGGAUCCGAGCGUUAUCCGGAUUUAUUGGGUUUAAAGGGAGCGUAGAUGGGUUGUUAAGUCAGUUGUGAAAGUUUGCGGCUCAACCGUAAAAUUGCAAUUGAUACUGGCAGCCUUGAGUACAGUUGAGGUAGGCGGAAUUCGUGGUGUAGCGGUGAAAUGCUUAGAUAUCACGAAGAACUCCGAUUGCGAAGGCAGCUUACUAAACUGCCACUGACAUUGAUGCUCGAAAGUGUGGGUAUCAAACAGGAUUAGAUACCCCAGUAGUC